UUUUGAGCAGAAACCACUCACCAUCCUCCCUCCCUCACGAAAAUCUCCCUCUUCCACUCGUUUUCAGCCGCCGCUGCAAGUUCUCCGGCCAAAUCGUCGGUGUUGAAACAAGCAUCGUUCAAGGCUUUGCCACACUUUCUCAUCCCGCACAGUUUAUUCACAAGUUUCGCUUCCGCAAUUAAGGUACGGACAUGACAACUUAUGUGUACGGAUUUGGGUUUUCGCAACCUCGUUGUCGGAAAUCUAAGGUUACAGGUUUAUCUUAGAAGACCAUGGA
Molecule: long non-coding RNA, 277 nt
Filed under: Helianthus annuus (common sunflower)
Lineage: Eukaryota; Viridiplantae; Streptophyta; Magnoliopsida; Asterales; Asteraceae
Description: sRNA HanXRQr2_Chr04g0158901
Source: RNAcentral